Molecule: ribosomal RNA, 393 nt
Filed under: uncultured bacterium
Lineage: Bacteria
Description: bacterial SSU rRNA
Rfam family: Bacterial small subunit ribosomal RNA
Source: RNAcentral
AACGAACGCUGGCGGCGCGCUUAACACAUGCAAGUCGAACGAGAAGGCGUAGCAAUACGCUUGUACAGUGGCGAACGGGUGAGUAAUACGUGGGCGACCCUACCUCGAGUGGGGAAUAACCCGCCGAAGGCGGGCUAAUGCCGCGUACGCUUCCAUCUUUAUGGAGGUGGAAGGAAAGCCGUGCCGUGGGCACGGCGCUCAAGGAUGGGCUCACGUCCUAUCAGCUUGUUGGUAGGGAACGGCCUACCAAGGCUCCGACGGGUAGCUGGUCUGAGAGGACGAUCAGCCACACUGGCACUGCGACACGGGCCAGACUCCUACGGGAGGCAGCAGUGAGGAAUAUUGCGCAAUGGGCGAAAGCCUGACGCAGCGACGCCGCGUGAGGGAUGACGG